UCUCUUUAAUUAAUUCGACCUAGAUUUUUACCACUUAUUUUUCAAUUUGUGAAAUUUUAGUCAUUAUAGUACUUUAUUUUUACUCUAACAUUGAAACAAAGUUGGAAUAAAGAUUUUCAAAAACCAAGAGAAUACAGGAGUUACAACAAACGUGGUUCUGUACAUAUUUACAACCAUAUACAACUAAGUGCCCUGCCAUGACACUGCAUUAAACCUACCAAGCCAUGUACUAUGGGAUGUGGAACGUCAAAUCCUGAAAAACAACAAAACCAACACACUACUAGUAAUCAACAAAUCGCACUUGACAGAGUUCUGUAUGGAGCAAAAGAAGCUCAAAAAUGGAAAAAAUUAGUAGCCGAAAAGAACGCAGCAAUUGCCAAAGGUUUAUCGCAAGACGGCACAUUUUACAGAGACAAAAAUGCUGGUAAAUUUGGUAGCGUUAAAAGUACAAUUCAAAGGCGACAGAAGAAGACAAAGAACAAAAAGAAGUGACGACUAAUUUUUCGCCACAUAAUAAAUAGUUUCCAAUUAUUGUAGAAUUAAUACAUAUAAUGUGGAUGAUGUCUUCAUUUAAUCUUCACGAGGAUAUUAGUUUCAGCCGAUACAUACGCCAUUUUGAAAGUAUAACUAAACAACAAUUCGAUCGGGCCUCGAAUACCCGUACUGUCAGACAAUCCGUACAUACUUUCUUCUCCCCUCCCUGACGACUAAAAUUUUCUAAAUCAUUCAAGCAAAUGGAAUUAUAAACAAUUAUAAACCUACACAACAGAAGUUUAAGAUCUUCUGCAAACAAUAAUCUAGCUGUAGUGAGGCGUAAUAAAAAUUCGAUGAAAAAAUCAUUCACAUAUAGCUCUUAAAUACUUUGGAAUAAACUAUCAAAUGAAAUAAACUAUGUGAAAAUCUGUGUACUUUAAAAAAAAAUGUGUAGAUUUUUUUAACUAUAAAUGAUAUGUAACAACUAUCUGACUCUGUCAUGUCUUUUAAAUGAUUGUGUAUAAUGUAUAAUUUUGUUUUUUCUUGUUCUACAGACAUUUAUUUAGUGUGAAAGUUGAAUUAUAUGUUCAAAAAAUGUAAUAUUUGUAAUACUUGUUCUGUAUGUUUU
Mytilus californianus (California mussel) is the source of this 1102-nucleotide long non-coding RNA. RefSeq lists it as uncharacterized. The transcript has 5 exons. The record is from RefSeq and is a predicted model, not a curated record. NCBI's taxonomy places the organism in Eukaryota, Metazoa, Mollusca, Bivalvia, Mytilida, Mytilidae.